This 358-nucleotide long non-coding RNA is filed under the name Vigna radiata. RNAcentral describes it as "long non-coding RNA (VRAD_LNC010988)". Lineage: Eukaryota; Viridiplantae; Streptophyta; Magnoliopsida; Fabales; Fabaceae. The record is from RNAcentral.
UUAGUUAGAGUUAGUGCAGAGAUGAUCGAGGAAAUGUGUUGAGUGAGAGAGAUGAAGGAGAGAGGGUUGAGAGGAAUGAAAGAGGUGAGUAAGGGUUUGGGGUUUCUUUUUUUUUUUUUUUAAUUUUGAGAAUGAAAAUUAUUAAAAUAAGAAAAGUGUUUUUGAUUUUUUUCAAUUAGGGCUAGAGUAGGGAUGAUAGAGAAAAUGUUGGAGUGAAAGAGAUGAAAAAGAAAGGUUGAGAGGAAUGAGAGAGGUGGAUAAGGGAUUGGGGUUUUUUUUUUUUUUAUUUUUUUAAUUUUGAGAAUGAAAAUUAUUAAAAUACGUUUAACCUUAAAACUUAGAAUUCAUGAUAUAAGGG